Molecule: ribosomal RNA, 994 nt
Filed under: Staphylococcus aureus
Lineage: Bacteria; Bacillati; Bacillota; Bacilli; Caryophanales; Staphylococcaceae
Description: bacterial SSU rRNA
Rfam family: Bacterial small subunit ribosomal RNA
Source: RNAcentral
AUCCUGGCUCAGGAUGAACGCUGGCGGCGUGCCUAAUACAUGCAAGUCGAGCGAACGGACGAGAAGCUUGCUUCUCUGAUGUUAGCGGCGGACGGGUGAGUAACACGUGGAUAACCUACCUAUAAGACUGGGAUAACUUCGGGAAACCGGAGCUAAUACCGGAUAAUAUUUUGAACCGCAUGGUUCAAAAGUGAAAGACGGUCUUGCUGUCACUUAUAGAUGGAUCCGCGCUGCAUUAGCUAGUUGGUAAGGUAACGGCUUACCAAGGCAACGAUGCAUAGCCGACCUGAGAGGGUGAUCGGCCACACUGGAACUGAGACACGGUCCAGACUCCUACGGGAGGCAGCAGUAGGGAAUCUUCCGCAAUGGGCGAAAGCCUGACGGAGCAACGCCGCGUGAGUGAUGAAGGUCUUCGGAUCGUAAAACUCUGUUAUUAGGGAAGAACAUAUGUGUAAGUAACUGUGCACAUCUUGACGGUACCUAAUCAGAAAGCCACGGCUAACUACGUGCCAGCAGCCGCGGUAAUACGUAGGUGGCAAGCGUUAUCCGGAAUUAUUGGGCGUAAAGCGCGCGUAGGCGGUUUUUUAAGUCUGAUGUGAAAGCCCACGGCUCAACCGUGGAGGGUCAUUGGAAACUGGAAAACUUGAGUGCAGAAGAGGAAAGUGGAAUUCCAUGUGUAGCGGUGAAAUGCGCAGAGAUAUGGAGGAACACCAGUGGCGAAGGCGACUUUCUGGUCUGUAACUGACGCUGAUGUGCGAAAGCGUGGGGAUCAAACAGGAUUAGAUACCCUGGUAGUCCACGCCGUAAACGAUGAGUGCUAAGUGUUAGGGGGUUUCCGCCCCUUAGUGCUGCAGCUAACGCAUUAAGCACUCCGCCUGGGGAGUACGACCGCAAGGUUGAAACUCAAAGGAAUUGACGGGGACCCGCACAAGCGGUGGAGCAUGUGGUUUAAUUCGAAGCAACGCGAAGAACCUUACCAAAUCUUGACAUCCUU